This 544-nucleotide ribosomal RNA is filed under the name uncultured bacterium. RNAcentral describes it as "bacterial SSU rRNA". It matches the Rfam family "Bacterial small subunit ribosomal RNA", at positions 777 to 1319 of the family's 1533-position model. The record is from RNAcentral.
AAUAGAUACCCUGGUAGUCCACGCCGUAAACGAUGAGUGCUAAGUGUUAGGGGGUUUCCGCCCCUUAGUGCUGCAGCUAACGCAUUAAGCACUCCGCCUGGGGAGUACGGUCGCAAGACUGAAACUCAAAGGAAUUGACGGGGGCCCGCACAAGCGGUGGAGCAUGUGGUUUAAUUCGAAGCAACGCGAAGAACCUUACCAGGUCUUGACAUCCCAUUGACCACUAUGGAGACAUAGUUUUCCCUUCGGGGACAACGGUGACAGGUGGUGCAUGGUUGUCGUCAGCUCGUGUCGUGAGAUGUUGGGUUAAGUCCCGCAACGAGCGCAACCCUUGUUCUUAGUUGCCAUCAUUUAGUUGGGCACUCUAAGGAGACUGCCGGUGACAAACCGGAGGAAGGUGGGGAUGACGUCAAAUCAUCAUGCCCCUUAUGACCUGGGCUACACACGUGCUACAAUGGACGGUACAAACGGUUGCCAACCCGCGAGGGGGAGCUAAUCCGAUAAAACCGCUCUCAGUUCGGAUUGUAGGCUGCAACUCGCCUAC